Molecule: ribosomal RNA, 1482 nt
Filed under: metagenome
Description: bacterial SSU rRNA
Rfam family: Bacterial small subunit ribosomal RNA
Source: RNAcentral
AGAGUUUGAUCCUGGCUCAGGACGAACGCUGGCGGCGUGCUUAACACAUGCAAGUCGAACGGAGCACCCUUGAUUGAGGUCUCGGCCAAAUGAUAGGAAUGUUUAGUGGCGGACUGGUGAGUAACGCGUGAGGAACCUGCCUUUCAGAGGGGGAUAACAGUUGGAAACGACUGCUAAUACCGCAUGACGCAUUUUGAUCGCAUGGUCGAAAUGCCAAAGAUUUAUCGCUGAAAGAUGGCCUCGCGUCUGAUUAGAUAGUUGGCGGGGUAACGGCCCACCAAGUCGACGAUCAGUAGCCGGACUGAGAGGUUGACCGGCCACAUUGGGACUGAGAUACGGCCCAGACUCCUACGGGAGGCAGCAGUGGGGAAUAUUGGGCAAUGGGCGCAAGCCUGACCCAGCAACGCCGCGUGAAGGAAGAAGGCUUUCGGGUUGUAAACUUCUUUUAAGUGGGAAGAGUAGAAGACGGUACCACUUGAAUAAGCCACGGCUAACUACGUGCCAGCAGCCGCGGUAAUACGUAGGUGGCAAGCGUUGUCCGGAUUUACUGGGUGUAAAGGGCGUGCAGCCGGGCAUGCAAGUCAGAUGUGAAAUCUCAGGGCUUAACCCUGAAACUGCAUUUGAAACUGUAUGUCUUGAGUGCCGGAGAGGUAAUCGGAAUUCCUUGUGUAGCGGUGAAAUGCGUAGAUAUAAGGAAGAACACCAGUGGCGAAGGCGGAUUACUGGACGGUAACUGACGGUGAGGCGCGAAAGCGUGGGGAGCGAACAGGAUUAGAUACCCUGGUAGUCCACGCUGUAAACGAUGGAUACUAGGUGUGCGGGGACUGACCCCCUGCGUGCCGCAGUUAACACAAUAAGUAUCCCACCUGGGGAGUACGAUCGCAAGGUUGAAACUCAAAGGAAUUGACGGGGGCCCGCACAAGCGGAGGAACAUGUGGUUUAAUUCGAUGAUACGCGAGGAACCUUACCCGGGCUUGAAUUGCAGAGGAAGGAUUUGGAGACAAUGACGCCCUUCGGGGCCUCUGUGAAGGUGCUGCAUGGUUGUCGUCAGCUCGUGCCGUGAGGUGUCGGCUUAAGUGCCAUAACGAGCGCAACCCCUCUCCAUAGUUGCCAUCAGGUUAAGCUGGGCACUCUGUGGACACUGCCACCGUAAGGUGUGAGGAAGGUGGGGAUGACGUCAAAUCAGCACGGCCCUUACGUCCGGGGCUACACACGUGUUACAAUGGCAGGUACAGAGAGCCGGUCGUAUGCAAAUACGAUCCAAUCCUUAAAGCCUGUCUCAGUUCGGACUGGGGUCUGCAACCUGACCCCACGAAGCUGGAUUCGCUAGUAAUCGCGCAUCAGCCAUGGCGCGGUGAAUACGUUCCCGGGCCUUGUACACACCGCCCGUCAAGCCAUGAAAGCCGGGGGCGCCUAAAGUCCGUGACCGUAAGGAGCGGCCUAGGGCGAAACUGGUAAUUGGGGCUAAGUCGUAACAAGGUA